Molecule: ribosomal RNA, 194 nt
Filed under: uncultured bacterium
Lineage: Bacteria
Description: partial 16S ribosomal RNA
Rfam family: Bacterial small subunit ribosomal RNA
Source: RNAcentral
CCUACGGGAGGCAGCAGUGGGGAAUUUUGGACAAUGGACGCAAGCCUGAUCCAGCCAUGCCGCGUGCGGGAAGAAGGCCUUCGGGUUGUAAACCGCUUUUGUCAGGGAAGAAAUCUUCUGGGCUAAUACCUCGGGAGGAUGACGGUACCUGAAGAAUAAGCACCGGCUAACUACGUGCCAGCAGCCGCGGUAAU